CGUGCUUAACACAUGCAAGUCGAACGAAGCACUCUAUUUGAUUUUCUUCGGAAAUGAAGAUUUUGUGACUGAGUGGCGGACGGGUGAGUAACGCGUGGGUAACCUGCCUCAUACAGGGGGAUAACAGUUGGAAACGACUGCUAAUACCGCAUAAGCGCACAGGAUCGCAUGAUCCGGUGUGAAAAAACUCCGGUGGUAUGAGAUGGACCCGCGUCUGAUUAGCCAGUUGGCAGGGUAACGGCCUACCAAAGCGACGAUCAGUAGCCGACCUGAGAGGGUGACCGGCCACAUUGGGACUGAGACACGGCCCAAACUCCUACGGGAGGCAGCAGUGGGGAAUAUUGCACAAUGGGGGAAACCCUGAUGCAGCGACGCCGCGUGAGCGAAGAAGUAUUUCGGUAUGUAAAGCUCUAUCAGCAGGGAAGAAGAAUGACGGUACCUGACUAAGAAGCACCGGCUAAAUACGUGCCAGCAGCCGCGGUAAUACGUAUGGUGCAAGCGUUAUCCGGAUUUACUGGGUGUAAAGGGAGCGCAGGCGGUGCGGCAAGUCUGAUGUGAAAGCCCGGGGCUCAACCCCGGUACUGCAUUGGAAACUGUCGUACUAGAGUGUCGGAGGGGUAAGUGGAAUUCCUAGUGUAGCGGUGAAAUGCGUAGAUAUUAGGAGGAACACCAGUGGCGAAGGCGGCUUACUGGACGAUAACUGACGCUGAGGCUC
RNAcentral lists this ribosomal RNA (715 nucleotides) under uncultured Lachnospiraceae bacterium. Its description in RNAcentral is "bacterial SSU rRNA". It matches the Rfam family "Bacterial small subunit ribosomal RNA", at positions 43 to 754 of the family's 1533-position model. Lineage: Bacteria; Bacillati; Bacillota; Clostridia; Lachnospirales; Lachnospiraceae. The record is from RNAcentral.